GAGUUUGAUCGUGGCUCAGGAUAAACGCUGGCGGCGCACAUAAGACAUGCAAGUCGAACGAACUUAAUUUUAAUAUUUAUAUUAAAAAGCGGUUAGUGGCGGACUGGUGAGUAACGCGUAAGCAAUCUGCCUAUCAGAGGGGGAAUAACAGUGAGAAAUCAUUGCUAAUACCGCAUAUGCCAUAAGAAUCACAUGAUUCUAGUGGGAAAGGAGCAAUCCACUGAUAGAUGAGCUUGCGUCUGAUUAGCUAGUUGGUGGGAUAACGGCCUACCAAGGCGACGAUCAGUAGCCGGACUGAGAGGUUGAACGGCCACAUUGGGACUGAGAUACGGCCCAGACUCCUACGGGAGGCAGCAGUCGGGAAUAUUGCGCAAUGGAGGAAACUCUGACGCAGUGACGCCGCGUAUAGGAAGAAGGUUUUCGGAUUGUAAACUAUUGUCGUUAGGGAAGAUAAAAGACAGUACCUAAGGAGGAAGCUCCGGCUAACUACGUGCUAGCAGCCGCCGCCGU
This 510-nucleotide ribosomal RNA is filed under the name uncultured microorganism. RNAcentral describes it as "bacterial SSU rRNA". It matches the Rfam family "Bacterial small subunit ribosomal RNA", at positions 9 to 524 of the family's 1533-position model. The record is from RNAcentral.